CGAUGGUAGAGAGAAGCGAGAGGCUAGAAGGAGAGAGAGAGAGAGAGAGAGAGAGAGAGAGAGAGAGAGAGAGCAGACAACCGUUGUCGCCGGCGGUCUGUUGGUUUAUGGCUAGAGAGCCGCCGUCACCGGCGGUGUUCGUCGGUCCAAGAGUGCCUAUGGCUUUCAUCUGAACCCACGAUUGUGGCAUCGCAUCUGGAUUUUGAUGCAACGCCGUUCGUCGGAACCCUAAAUAACACAGGCUUAAUACUGGUCCAUGUUUUUUCUGCCACUAAACCUCACUCCGCUCCUGCCGUCUAGCCCUUCAUGCCGCUUCAACCUCUGCUUCACCAGGGAGCAUCAUGCGUUGAUGGUGGUCUUACAAUAGCAACUACCGGUUUUCUUUGAUCUCAAUUACUUAUUAUUGUGAAUGGGUCCUCUUUGAACCUCUUGAAUACUUAUUUGAUGCUAACGAGUGGCGAUUGAACAUAGGCUUAAGUUACAUUGAAGGCGGAAAAAGUGGAUAAGUCUAUUGAAAAAAAGUUAAGCAAUGUUUGUAAAGGGACAAAACAUUGUAUGUGGUAGCACGUUUAAGGGAUAGGUGCAUGCGUCUCUGAGGCACAUGUUAGCACAGCAUCAAACUGGCACAUGUUACCAUAACAUCACCAAUGGUAUCCCCUAAAGCCUAGGAUGGUGGGCAAAGUGGCUAUAGGAAUUUGCAUCCUAAAGAUGGGAUACUGGAUGGCAAUGGUGCUGCCACGGUUGCGAUGGUGGAUGGCAGCGGUGCUGCAAGCAGCCUCAUAGUCAAUAAGAAGUUUUUUUAUUGCUUUUGAGACAAACUUAAAAAACCAUUGCAAAUCAAAUGGUAAUGUUGAAUUUUUUUAAAGCUUUUGUAGAUUACAAGAAGAUAAUCAGACUUUAUUUUUCUUCUAGCACAUCUCCUUUGUCCGAUCGAUGCUAUCGUCUUUAACAAUGCAAAAUUCACAUUAACCAAACUUUAAAUAAACUAAAGAGGAGGUUUUAGUAGCUCUGAAAUUAUAAAUUUUAGGUUUACAUACUACUCCUAUGAAGCAUAACUCCCAUGAGCAAUGUUAAAAUGUAUUACAUGAACUUAACAUUCUAUGCUUUGCUCACUCUUUGGAUAUAUUUUGUUAACUGGUAUAUGUAAUUUGGUUGCCUUCUUGCAACGGUGGUUUUCCACCAGCAUGAAUUAAUGGAGUGAAAAACGAAAUGAUCUCAGCAAGAUCCUUUUCUUUUAAAAAUGUGAAGUGGGGAUCCAUAAGAAAAUCAAGAUCUUUCUCCCUCUCUCAUGGUCAAAAUAUUAUAGUAGCAGUUACACUAUGAAGAUUUGAGAAUUUCUUCAAUAUGCUAAGUAGUAUAUAGUUUCCAAUGUUGAACAUUGAGUUACUUGCUUCAUAUUAGUAAACCUUAUAUGGAUCUAUUUAUACCAAAUAUUUUGAGCUCUUGGUGUCUAAAUAAUAAUCUACUAGAAUGCAGGAGACUAACGACAUUUAAUUCGAGCGACUUGACAAAGAGAUCUGUGAAAGAUUUGUUUAGGAUGUUGAACGGAUUCAUUGCUAAUCUGAAUCCUUGCAAGAGUGCCAAUGCAUUGCAGUCACUUCCUAAAAUGCUAACUUUAUUGAUAGAGAUGGCUGAAUGCAUAAUAUCUAUAUGUGGAAGAAACCAAAGCGACUGGGAAAAUUUGGCGAGUUGGAUCAUGAAUCAUAAUUGCAGGUGGUGGGAUUGGAUUUGGUGGAUGAUGAAAGCAAGCCAGAACCAACAACUACCCAAUGGACAAAUAUAAAGUCCCACGCCGCAACGCGGCGGGGUUCCAUCUAGUUAAUAAUAUAAUUUGAACUAAAAUAUAAUAAACCAACCCACCGCCCUUUCCCCUUCUCUCAUCCUGCUCUUUGUUUUGUGAUCCCAGAGCCACGACACCAACAACAACGCACAACAGGUCUUCAUCAGGUAGCAGCAACAGCUUCGGAUUCCGCCGAAGAAUAGUAAAUUAUGGCCACCAAACUCACGCAAAACAACAUCUUCAUCACUCCUUCCGGCAUUACAGAAGAAACCAUAUUCCUGCCUUUGGUAGCUGGGAUUGCAACGAUGAUCUACCCUUCACACAAUGCUUCGAAUCUGCCCGACAAGCCGGUUUGAUCCGAUACUCCGGGGGAGAUCGUGAUCUGUAUGUUGCCGGAGAUUUGUACGAGAAUAACAUCGUUACUCCCGCCAUUAUCGUCGCUCCUCGCCGGAGAGGGUAUCCGAAGAAACCCAAAAAGGAGGUGUGGGUGGAGUAUGACGACUGUGAGACGAAGGAACCACCGAGUCCUGUCAGUGUAGCCCCGGAACAACCGUCGUCACCACCAGCUGUCAAGCGUGUUAAGCCGAAACCGGUGGAUGAGGAUCUGUACAAGAUCUCACCGGAGCUCCUCCGUGAGAAGCCCAAAAGAAAGAAGUGGGGAUUAUUCUCAAGCUGCGUCAUGUGAAUCAAAACACAUAUAUGGAAGUAUUGAUCACGUGUUAUAUUUAGCGUGCCGGUUGAUUAUAAUAUAUACUAAAUGUAGACUAGUGACACCAAUCUUUAUAUUUGUUAUAUGUUUUUUAUUAUAUGUAACAGUCGUUGUUAUAUACUAUUUAUUAAUAUUAAUAUUCAGAAAA
RNA transcript from Helianthus annuus (common sunflower), 2637 nucleotides. RefSeq lists it as uncharacterized. The transcript is spliced from 8 exons. Lineage: Eukaryota; Viridiplantae; Streptophyta; Magnoliopsida; Asterales; Asteraceae. The record is from RefSeq and is a predicted model, not a curated record.